CAAACGACUCUCGGCAACGGAUAUCCCGGCUCUCGCAUCGAUGAAGAACGUAGCGAAAUGGGAUACUUGGUGUGAAUUGCAGAAUCCCGUGAACCAUCGAGUUUUUGAACGCAAGUUGCGCCCGAUGCCCUUAGGCUGAGGGCACGUCUGCCUGGGUGUCACGU
This 164-nucleotide ribosomal RNA is filed under the name Bupleurum wenchuanense. RNAcentral describes it as "5.8S ribosomal RNA". It matches the Rfam family "5.8S ribosomal RNA". Rfam says of the family: 5.8S ribosomal RNA (5.8S rRNA) is a component of the large subunit of the eukaryotic ribosome. It is transcribed by RNA polymerase I as part of the 45S precursor that also contains 18S and 28S rRNA. Lineage: Eukaryota; Viridiplantae; Streptophyta; Magnoliopsida; Apiales; Apiaceae. The record is from RNAcentral.